GGGACUAUAGUUAAAAAUAACAUUUGAGUUGCAUUCAAAAAGUGCUACACAGUAGCUAGCCUCA
This 64-nucleotide transfer RNA is filed under the name Heterotermes tenuior. RNAcentral's name for it is "tRNA-Ala". Lineage: Eukaryota; Metazoa; Arthropoda; Insecta; Blattodea; Rhinotermitidae. The record is from RNAcentral.